This 300-nucleotide unclassified non-coding RNA is filed under the name uncultured Archaeosporaceae. Its description in RNAcentral is "sequence contains 5.8S rRNA gene, ITS2". The stretch from base 1 to 71 matches the Rfam family "5.8S ribosomal RNA", at positions 84 to 154 of the family's 154-position model. The record is from RNAcentral. Lineage: Eukaryota; Fungi; Glomeromycota; Glomeromycetes; Archaeosporales; Archaeosporaceae.
GUGAGUCAUCGAAUCUUUGAACGCAUAUUGCACUCUUUGGUAUUCCGAAGAGUAUGCCUGUUUGAGGGUCAUUUGAAAAUUAAUCUGGACUUUUGUCUCGGAAUAAAUGAGUUUUCCGUUAUCGUUCUUUACGACUGGUGAUGGUCACUCGAAAUUGAUGCUAUGUCUUGGUUUGUAACAGACGCGUUUAUUUUAUUCAUAUAAAUGUUCGCAACUAAUCAAGUCUCGUGUUCUAGCUUGUUCAAUUUCAGCCUUUUAAAAGAGGAUGAAAUCAAACAAAAUAACAUUAUAAUCGUGACC